AUGAAGGCCAAGGCUUCUCCACCCCAAGCAAACUUCGCGGUGACCAAGCUCCAUGAGAACGAGCAUGAGGAUAGUACCACCAAGAUGUCCAAGCCCGACGAGCUCCAAGACGAGGCUCCCAAGUUCGACUUCACCGCCACCCCUCUUUGUGGCAUUGAUGGUGUCGAGUCUACCACGACUCUUUUUCAAGAGGGUGCAGCGACAAGUAUGACUACGGAGACCCUCAAGGACCAAGCUUUGGAGGCGAGCGACAAGGUGGCGAGCAAGGUUGAUGCUUCCAUCUUUGGAGGCGAGAGUGAUGAUGUGCCAUCUUCGGCCUUCAUCCAUGGCGACGAUGACGAGAUGGUUGAGCAUGGGAUUUUCCCUUUGACCACGUCGACAUAUGAUGACUUGAGUGACUUUUGCCAGCAUAUUGAGAGUGAGAGUGACUUCACCACUAGCCCCAUAUAUGACGAGUUGCCCCACUUCCCAUGUGAGGAGAGCCACAACCCCCACCACUUGAGUGAGAUGAGUGACUCCACCAUACGUGAGUUUGAGUGCACCUAUUUUGAGGGAGUGAGUGAACCACCACAUAGAGAGAGUGAGAUAGUUGAUAGGUCAUGUGAGGCCACUUUCAACACUAACGACUUGACCUCUACCUCUAUUAUGUCUUCUCAUUUGGUGCUAGGUCCCAUUUAUGAUGACGCGCCGAUCCGCGAUGACUUCGUCCUCCCUUUGGACAAGACGAUGGCCAUGGUGGAAUAUGAUGCACCCCCCACAUGGUUCCAUCAAGAUGAAGAUGACCACCAUUUGGUUUUCCCACCUCACCUACACCACUUGAGUGGAAUGACAAAGGUACCCAUGAAUACUUGUCAACUUCGCAAUCCCACGAGUUGA
This 876-nucleotide ribosomal RNA is filed under the name Triticum aestivum (bread wheat). Its description in RNAcentral is "partial small subunit ribosomal RNA". Lineage: Eukaryota; Viridiplantae; Streptophyta; Magnoliopsida; Poales; Poaceae. The record is from RNAcentral.